GCCACCGUGCUUCUACAUCUGCAUUGCUUGCUGUUUGGGGUUUUAGGCUGGGUUUCUGUAUAGCCCUUUGACAUCUGCUGAUGUAAAAAGGGCUUUAUAAAUACAUUUGAUUGAUUGAGAUUCAUUUGAAUUGAAUACUUCUAGGAUCAUGGAAUGCAUUUGUUCAGAUUUAUAAUAAAAAGGUAUUUGUUGCAGAAUUUAUAUAUUUUUCAUUUAAUGCAACGAUAUUGGUUGCUGAAAAGUCUGUUUUGAAUGAUUUAAAAUGACAACUAUUUACUCAAGUAAGCCUAUGCAAUCAUCAGGCCUGGACCUACACCUGUUCUGUGAAUUUUUUAUUCUUUUCCACAGUGCAGUUCAUUUUGGAAGAUAUUUUUGGUGCCCAGUCCUUCCAAAAAGCAUGCGAAUAAUAUCCAGUAAAAUUGUACUUCUUACUUGAAAUAAUGAUAGUAGUAUUGCAAUAGUAUGUGGUGGAAACAGGCCUACCUCACUGUUUCCUCAAUGGAUAAACUCCAGCAGGCCUGAGGUUUGGACGCCACCUUGUGGGUAUUAAGGCGUCCGCAUGCUUCUCAUCCAAAACAGUUUAUGGCGUGCAUAGAUUGAUUACAUUUUGUCACUGUUUUGGUCUUAGGCAAGCAUUUUUUCGGCUGUUCGUGCACAAGAUUUUUCCUGAGGCAAGCCGAAGUUCGGUAGCCGAAGUCUACACCCCUUCGUCGGUGAUUGGUUAUCAGUAGGGAUUCUUCAAUGAAGUGUUGGUUGUCAUUGAACUAGAGACGAUGACACAUUGCAACAUUGUUGCAAAGGAGGUGCGAUGACUCAAAUGCAUAAGAAUGGCGGUAAGUUCAGACCUUCGACUCCAGAGUGUCCUAAAUACAAACCAUGUAACUUUACUUCUUUACCUUUACGUCUUCUUGCUCUCUUGAAAAUCUCAAAAUGGAGUCGGUUGGCAGUGGUGAGCUCUCUGAGUAUGAGCCAGACCAGGAUGAAGUGGGCCUACCUGCAGCGACCGGUGUGGUAAAGACUUACAAUGUUUGCCCUGUGAAUCCUACCGGAGAAUAUUUUGGAAUGGUGGGAGUGAGAUUUUUGGAAAGAGUGGAUUGCUACUUUUUGGCCGACGCAAACGUUGUGUCAAGCUGGGUAAAGGGAAAACUGGGAAUGGAUACAUACGUGAAAGUUUCGAGAAGUGGAUUUGUUUAUUUUUUGUGCAUCCUCCACGCAGAGGAAACCUGUGGCGUGCUUUGUUCUCCGGAACGAACAGAGCGCCGCUCAAAGGGGUGCUCAGUCGGGUAGCGUUGAGUGUAGAGGUGGAUCAAAUGAAAAAUAAUGUUCCUGGUGUUUGUGACCCGCCGGUUAGUGAGACGUGGACCCGGUGGCAAUGGCAAGUCUGAGAAUACCCUGUCUGUCUUAUUGAGCUUUGACACAGAGUGUCUACCUGAUAAGGUUCGGUUACUUUAUAUUUUUCUAUUCUGUCAGGGCAUAUGUUCCAAACCUGCUACUGACUGUGCUUUACGUGGCAAGGAUUCAGACCUGUUGCAGCAGUGUGUAGAAGGAAGAUCCCACAGUGUGAGAAAUGUGCAGGAGGGCAUAGUCAGAGGGAGUGUACAGUUGGGAUAGAGAAUGCACUGUGUGUCAACUGUGGGGGUGCCCAUGCAGCUGGGGCCGAAGUGCCCUGUGAAAGAGAGACAGGCUGAGAUUGCCAGAGUUUGAGUGGGAAUGAAAGUGAAGAGAGUAGAGGAUAGCCCAAGGGUGCGUGAUUCAACUGGAAGCCCCCCAGUGAGAAGGCCUGAGAGAGAUCCAGAGAGGAUGAGUUUUAGUAAGGUUGGAUUUAUUUCGUUUAUAGCCAUGGUGAUCAACUGCACUGCGGAGCGGAGAUCACAGAAGAUACUGUAUAUGUGGUAGUUGUAGCAACAGAUAAAUAUUUUGGGUGAGAUUUUAGUGCAGAAAAUCUACAAGAAGUUUUGAGAGAAGGGGUUACAUCCUCCCAUGCCGGCAGCCUGGUGUAGGAUCGCGGUUUUGGGGGGGAUAGUGUAUAGGUGCAGGGUUAGAUGGUGCAAUUUAAGAUUUUUUGUAUGUGACCCAAAUGUGCACGACUAAGACCUAAAAAUGUUAAAAUGAGAUUUGAGUUAGAUGAAUUCAGACUAUUUUGAUUAAGUACACACUUGCUACGGCAACUCGAGGGACAAACUGUACUAUUUCCGCUUUUUUUUCUCACCCCUUUCCUAACCUUAACCUCAGUCUCCUAACCUGCUAUGAAAGUCACUUCUAGUAGCUGUAUCAAAGUGGCGUGAAGUGUUUCUCAGUUCUCUUCGUCCUGGCAAUUGAAACAGAAGUUUAGUCUGUAUUUCUUUUAAUGUAACCUUUAUUUAACUAGGCAAGUCGGUUAAGAACAAAUUCUUAUUUACAAUGGCUAAGUGGUAUUUUGCAUUGGUUACCCAUUGAAGUUGUAAUAUUUAAUGCAUGCAAUGGAAAAGGCUGUACAUAUCUUCAACAACCUCAGGAUAUCUGACAUUGUUGAAACUCUUGUAGACCAAAUUUAUGAGAUGUUAUACAUGCCGUAUCGUCAAUUGGACAUUCGGAGACUUGUCUCGAAGCCACCCCUGCGUUGUCUUGGCUGUGUGCUUAAGGUCGUUGUCCUGUUGGAAGGUGAACCUUGGCCCCAGUCUGAGGUCCUGAGCACACUGGAGCAGGUUUUCAUCAAGGAUCUAGCUGUACUUUGCUCCAUCUUUCCCUUGAUCCUGACUAGUUUCCCAGUCCCAGAACAGAAGUUAUUUCGACGACAAACAGCCACCUCAAUCUGCAAAAUGUAAACCUAUCAAUGGCAUGAAGGCUACUCUAGAGAAAAAUUUUAACAGGAUGACCCACAUUGAAAAGUAAAAUGAGGAUCAUGGCGAAACGCUAAUACAACAAGACCAGGCUAUUAACUACUUAAUGGGCCAGGUAGAGGAAUUGCAAAAGGGAGAAUUGUUGAAAAACCGUUUGCGUCAUAAUAAUAUAUUCAAAUGUUGGGGGUCUCAACCAAUGCAGAAAGAGGGCGGAAAAAGUCUACAUUUGUGGACCAGAUGGUGAGGGAGUUCUUGGAAAUCGAUGCUGCUACACCUUUGGUCAUGGAGACAGCCCACAGAACGGCAAGAAAAAAAUAUGCCGACUAACACCGUACCCAAAACGGCUGCGCGCCAUUGUGCGUGAAUUGAUUUUGUUCCCCCACACCAAACGCGAUCACGAGACGCAGGUUGAAAUAUCAAAACAUACUCUGAACCAAUUAUAUUAAUUUGGGGACAGGUCGAAAAGCAUUAAACAUUUAUGGCAAUUUAGCUAGCUAGCUAAUUUGUCCUAUUUAGCUAGCUUGCUGUUGCUAGCUAAUUUGUCCAGGGAUAUAAACGUUGAGUUGUUAUUUUACAUGAAAUGCACAAGGUCCUCUACUCCGACAAUCCACACAAACGGUCAACCGAAUAAUUUCUAGUUAUCACCUCCUUCCAGGCUUUUUCUUCUUUGGACUAUAUGGCAUCUAACUUUCAUUGUUACCACGAUGACUGAUCGAACUCAGUUCAUCUUUCAAUCACCCACGUGGGUAUAACCAAUGAGGAGAUGGGAGAGGCAGGACUUGCACCGCGUUCAGCGUCACAAAUAGAACUGACUUCUAUUUUAGCGCUUGGCAACGCAGACGCUCGUUGGCGCGAAAUCAUUAAAUAACAUGUUUCAAUUUAUUUUGCAGCGCACGUGACGCAAGCAGUAUGGUCAGCAUGUAAGUGGUAAAUUGUUGGGCCCAGGAGUGAGAGCGAAGGAAUCAAGGUCCAAGAAGUAACAGUAGCCUAAAUCUACUGCGAAACAUUGUCCAAUCCACAUUGACUACUGAAGCGACCCCUUCUUAAGGAUUUGAAACUACCUGGAUUUAUGGUCAUUAUUGGGACCCAUUUGCACGUGAGCUAGCUAAUUGCUCACAAUGAGGGAAUCUUAUUUGGACAAAUUUGCCUACUUGAGCAGUAAGCCUAGGUUUACAUGUACAGUUAUGUAAUCGAUUUGAUUGUUGAUUUGUGUUUCUUCAAUGUAUGCCUUGUGUUUGGCUGGCUCUAAAUGUGUAUUGUUGAUGCCAUUCCCUUAGUUACACAUAGCGAGUCUACACAGCCUACACAUAGUAUAUACAAUAAUGAAAUCACCUGGUCCCAACAUACAUGGCAAGUCAAGAAAAGCCAUUGUAACUUGUCCACAAUGCAAACGGUAAUUUAAAAACUUCAAAACACAUUUAUGAAGAAAGCAUACAAAUUGCUUUCAAAACGUGUCCAAGGAAAGAUUUUUGGCAUGUGAGUGCAUUGAUGUGAGAAAUGGUGUGUUUGCAGUCAAAUACAUUUUCUGGUCGAGCAACACCCAUACAUGUUGUGAAAAAAACUUGGGCUAAUUCAGUUUCAAAUCUGUUAUGCAUGCUGAAGUAUAAAAAGCUGUUAAUGUACUUUUUCUUUACUUUCACAUACACUGUGUUCAGAAACAUUGCUCGGAUCUUGUCCCCUGGACCUUGGAGGACUUUGUGUGGAUGAUCAGGAAAACAUGCAGCAAAUUAGGCAACGGUGGUGCCUAGUUUUCCUGCAGAACUUUCCCAUGCCGUCUGAAGAAGAGAGGUUGAAAGAUCGAAAAAGGCGGUGAAAUCAAAACGCACUACAGGAUGAUGUAGAUGUCCCCCCAAGAAGUCACAUCAGCAUCCAGCUCUGCAGGACCAGGUACUGUAUAGGCUAUUAGCUAAAGUAAGGUGCAUUCCUGUACACACAUCCCUAGAGGUUCCCUUACAUUACUUAAUAACCACAAUCUGUUUUCUUUCUAGACGAUACUGAAAACAAAAUGCGCUGUGAACUGGUUAAGUAGUCUGUGUGUAAUACUGAAGGCUUGUAGCAUGGUGAACUGGGAGCUGUGAACUGGGUAAGUAGUCUGUGUGUAAUACUGAAGGCUUGUAGCAUGGUGAACUGGGAGCUGUGAACUGGGUAAGUAGUCUGUGUGUAAUACUGAAGGCUUGUAGCAUGGUGGACUGGGAGCUGUGAACUGUGUAAGUAGUCUGUGUGUAAUACUGAAGGCUUGAUGCAUGGUGAACUAGGAGCUGUGAACUGGGUAUGUAGUCUACUGUGUAUAAUACUGAAGGCUUGAUGCAUGGCAAGAUAUACUAGUUGUGAUGACUUGGUGAGUAGUUAUAGAUAUCACUGAAAGCCCCUUUUAGUAAUAGUGGCUUUUGUUUGCAUGGUGGUAUUGUGAAAGUGGGGUGUAAUUUCACUUGAUCACCCAAUGAGGCACUACUCUUAAUAUUUAUUAUUUUUUCUUCAUGGAAGCAGAUGUUCUUCUAAGCGACACCCUAGAGGCAGCAAGGUGGUGCAAACUCCAAACAUUUAAAGGCACUGUUUCCCUCCCUAGUGUAAUUGGGAUGGACGGGGAAGACCCCAUUACAACCCUUAAAGAACUAUGGUUGUAUGAUGGACUGGAUGAAGAGGAAAAUAUUCUCCUCAAGGAACCAGUCAUGUUACAGAGAUUGAGAUGUUCUAUGUGGAGGCAGUUGACAACAAGAAAAUGACUUGUCUUUGCCUCUUUUGAGGAGCAGGAGUGAAGCCAUUUUUGAGGAGUGGUCAAACCUUGUUUUUGUCUGCUGUGUUAAUUGUGUUAUGUUGUUUAGUAAAGAUGACGUAGAAGUCACCCGAGUCUCUGAUCUCUUUACUGGAGCUGGUAUAACUCAAUGUACAAAGCACAUUCAGCUUGUCAGUAUGUUUAUAUGGCAUAGUCUGUCUCCAUUCUCAUGAGGAAAGUAAAUAGCAUUGUAAAUCAGGAUAGGUAGUAACAGUAUAUGCUCAAUGAAAUAUAAUUCAAGUUAACGUUUAUCAACAAUUUUAACAGUACAUGACAUACAUAAGUCUGUUCACAACAACAUCAGUAGCUUGUCUCAUAGCAUGAAACAAAACGUGUUAACACAUCUGCUGGUACUUUAUAAUAUUUCUUACGAUCUUCAAAAUUUAAAUAUGUUUGAAUUCAAUGUGUGCCUUGCGCAAACGUGUGUGUUCAGUGUGUGACUGUCAUAUCAGAUGGACAAAAAGGUGGACGGGGUCAAACGUUUGACUCCGUCCACAUUGAGCCCAGCCCUGAAUUGCACACUGCAGCCAGGGAUACUUGCAUAUUUUGGUGUGAAGUUCUCCAUGUUAAACAGGACAUCACAGGUGUUAUUCAACCAGACCCAUGCCAUCUCCUAGGUAUUGUUCCUGUGGAUACACUCCAAUCCUCUCCAUUUAAAUUGAUAGAUUCUUUAUUAAGCAGCAGCAAUGAAAUGUGUAACAAAAUGCUGGAAAAAUUAACAUGCACCCUCAAAAGAUGUGGUUAGGUCUAUGCGGGGAACUUGCUGACAUGGAAAGAAUUACAUCAAUCUUGCAACAUGGGUGGUUGUCCUUGAUGACCCUACCUGAGCCACUGCCUGUUCACCCUGCUACCAUCCAGAAGGCGAGGUCAGUACAGGUGCAUCAAAGCUGGGACAGAGAGAUUGAAAACCAGCUCUCUCAAGGCCAUCACUGUUAAACAGCCAUCACUAAACACAGGGGCUGCUGCCUACAUACAUGAAAUCAUUGGCCACUAAUGUUCAUAACUCAUCUCAACUGUAUUUUAUACCAUUUAUUGCAUCUUACCGACGCCGCUCAGUCAUUGCUCAUCCAUAUAUUCCAUUAGAUGUGUGUAUUAGGUAGUUGUGGAAUUGUUAGAUAUUACUGCACUGUCAGAACUAGAAGCAUUUCGCUACACUCGCAAUAACAUCUGCUAACCAUGUGUAUGUGACCAAUAAAAUUUGAUUUGAAGGUGUCUGGUCAGAGUUCUUGAUAUAUCGUACUGGUCUUAUUCUGUAAUUUGAGGUUUUUCUGUGGCUCUAUCCAAAUUGUAUUCUUAUUAAGACUCUUGAAAUAUUUGCUCUAUACAGCAAAAAUGUACCCUUAACAUGUGAAUGUAAUUACACUUUUUAAAGACAGCAAAGAUGUGUAUAUGGUAUAUGCUCUUUAAUAAAAAUGUGGUAGAAAAUAA
Non-coding RNA from Salmo salar (Atlantic salmon), 7020 nucleotides. NCBI's taxonomy places the organism in Eukaryota, Metazoa, Chordata, Actinopteri, Salmoniformes, Salmonidae. The record is from RefSeq and is a predicted model, not a curated record.